CUUCCUGACUGCUCUUUGCUUGGGAAUAGUUUCAGCUACUAUAGAGCUUGAUCAAAGUUUAGAUGAACAGUGGAUCCAGUGGAAGGAGACACAUGGGAAGCAAUAUGGCAUGGUUGAAGAAUGCAGAAGAGCAGUGUGGGAGAAGAAUAUGAAAAUGAUUAUACAGCACAAUCAGGAAUACUAUCAAGGGAAACACCGCUUUUUGAUGGCAAUGAAUGGCUUUGGUGACAUGACCAAUGAAGAAUUCAGGCACAUGAUGAUUGGUCUUAAAAUGCAGAAGAGUGAGAAUGGGGAAGUUUUUAAAGUCCCCUUCUGUGCUGGCACCUCUGUACCUGUCGAGAGAAAACAGACG
This is a long non-coding RNA of Herpailurus yagouaroundi (jaguarundi), 352 nucleotides long. RefSeq lists it as uncharacterized. NCBI's taxonomy places the organism in Eukaryota, Metazoa, Chordata, Mammalia, Carnivora, Felidae. The transcript is spliced from 3 exons. The record is from RefSeq and is a predicted model, not a curated record.